CUGGUCGCCCCUGGCCUGAAUGUGUGGGUUUAGUCAAGAUGUGGAUGAGACUAACACAAGGCUCACAGAAACUGACACCCUUUGAAAUAGUACAUGGGCGACCCUUCCCUCUACCCAUUACAAGUGAACCGAUAGAUAAAUCCAUAAGAGAAUCAACACUAGCAGAAUGGAUGACAAAACUGUUAGGAAACAGAGAAAUAGUUUUGAACAAUCAACUGCCAGAUGAUUCUCUUCCAGUCUCUUCCAGGUUGAAACCAGGAGAUUGGAUCCUGAUAAAAGUGCUCCAGAGGAAAAAUUGGAGUUGUCCGAGAUGGGAAGGACCUUACCAAGUACUCCUGACCACUCCCACAGCCUGCAAAAUUGCUGAACGACCUUCCUGGAUUCAUCAGAGCCACUGUAAAAAAGUGAGCGACAGCGCACACUAAGACGCCAGCACCCCUACUUGUGAGUGAUCUGGGAGGUGGAGAAAGGGCUGUUUGGGUAAAUCCCGCCCUUGGUCUUCUCGCCCCUAGUCUACUCACUCACAGGACCAGGUGUGUUCGGUCAUCAUGAAGACCCUACUCGUUCUGGUGGCCAGUGUCACGAUUCUGUUGGGACUACUGUUGCUGAUUCCAGAAGAAGAAGAACAGCACCACCUGGAGACAAGACUGACACAUGACACAAUACAUCCAGACGACAUGACGCAAGAUCACCACCACCCAUGGAUGAACAAUGCCUGGUACCGUUAUGUGUACAACUCCACAAGAGACAAAAACUGUUACAUCUGUUCACACAUGCCUCUCACUGCAAAACACUUGACCCUGUACGGCACACCCGCACCACUAAAUGAAGGACUGUGCAUAUAUGAGAAAGCAGCCCGCGGCCAUUGUGAUAACCAAACGAUGAGAAAAUUGGAGAAGUGGAUAUGUCUGGGAGACCCUAACAUCCAGAGCAUCAACGUCACCGCAGCAGUGGGACAAGAAGACCCAAGCUAUCUGAUGGACCUAUGCACUAACAUCACCAACACGUCAGAGUCUAACAGGUACACAUACGCCUGUAAGGAAAAACACUGGGUGAAUAUGUCACUCAGCACCCCAAACAUCACUGUGCUGGCUGUGGUGACCACGUACACAUUUCCCUUAUGUGUCGUGUUUGGCAACAUCACCAAAGGAGCAACUCACUACAGCUUAUCUGGCACAUGCCAAUACACCCUGACAGUAACAACUCGUACAAAGAAACUCUACUGGGUCGAGGGGACCGGCUGGUGGUGUCAAGGAUAUGACAAACAACCUCAAACAUACCUAGCCGUGCCUGAAAACUAUGAGGGACAAUGUGUGCCACUGAUGCUAAGCGAUCACACCUUCAAGAUAACAGCAGGAGCAGCCCGUGCACGGACACGCCGAAGACGAGCAAUACAACCACACGACCCAAUUUGGGGCUCUGACGUCCCAGAGGAAUUCAAGCUUUGGACCACAGGACAAAAGACCGUCCAUGCCCUUUUCCCAGGGGUAGGAGUUGGAAAGCACGCCCUUAGAAUUGAGACUCUGAAUUACCGUUUUGGACUGUUCCUGAAUGCAUCUUGUAAAGUGAACAGCGCGCAGAAUGAAGAAAUCGACGCCCUGCGCCUUAGCACAAUGCAACACCGUGUCGCUUUGGACAUGAUUUUGGCUGAGAAAGGAGG
This 1660-nucleotide long non-coding RNA is filed under the name Oreochromis niloticus (Nile tilapia). RNAcentral's name for it is "lncRNA (ENSONIG00000040208.1)". Lineage: Eukaryota; Metazoa; Chordata; Actinopteri; Cichliformes; Cichlidae. The record is from RNAcentral.